This 125-nucleotide ribosomal RNA is filed under the name uncultured bacterium. RNAcentral's name for it is "partial 16S ribosomal RNA". The record is from RNAcentral.
CUGCUGCCUUCCGUAGGAGUCUGGCCGUGUCUCAGUCCAGUGUGGGGGGCCUUCCUCUCAGAACCCCUACGCAUCGUCGCCNCGGUGGGCCGUUACCCCGCCGCAGCUAAUGCGCCGCAUGCCCA